This 5379-nucleotide ribosomal RNA is filed under the name Paraclostridium sordellii. RNAcentral's name for it is "Paeniclostridium sordellii 23S ribosomal RNA". The stretch from base 3863 to 5379 matches the Rfam family "Bacterial large subunit ribosomal RNA". Lineage: Bacteria; Bacillati; Bacillota; Clostridia; Peptostreptococcales; Peptostreptococcaceae. The record is from RNAcentral.
UUUUUAAAUUUUUUGCUAUUAUAAGAUUUUUUAUUGCUAAUAGUUAAAAUAGUCAUAAUUAUUCCUAAAAUAAUAAAAAUAAUUCCAAAUAAUUUUAUUGACAUUUAUAACACUUCCUUAUUUAUUUAUUUAUUUAACUUUAUCAUAUUUUUAUUUAAGUUUUCCAGUUUUUUACUAAUAUAUAUCUUUUAUACACUAAAAAAGACCUUUCCAGGUCUUUUAUGCUAAAACUCUUCUUAUUUCUAAAUUAUUAUUUAAAUAUUUAAUAAAAAUAGGUAUAAAGAUUAAUUGAAUUAAUAUCCCAGGUAUGGCCAUAGUUAUAUUUCCAAAUACAAAUAAUAAAGGAUUUACUUUUGGAGCUACAGUUAUAGAAACUAAAUAUGCGCCAAUUACUGCAAAUAAUCGUCCACCUAACAUUGUGCAAAGUAAAGUUAUGUAUAUUUUUUUAGUUUUAUUAAAUAUAUAACCUGUUAAAAAACCAUAGGCACAUAGUUCAAAGGCCAUUAUAGGCAUUACUGGUAUAAUCGGUGGCAUCCCUGUCAUAAAUCCACUAAGUACUGGUGUGAUAAUUCCUAUUAACAUCCCACAAACUGGUCCUAAUAAAAAUCCUCCUAUUAACACCGGUAUGUGCAUUGGUAAAAAUAUAUUUCCUGCUAAAUUUACAGUAUGAAAUAUCAUCGGUAAUAUAAUUCCGAAAGCUAUAAACAUUGAUGAAAAAGCUAUUUUUUUACUUUUCAUUUUAUUUUCUCCUCCAGAUAUUAAUUUUUAACUAAAACCAAAUAAUAAAUUUGAUCAUUUUCAAAAGCUUCUAAAACCUUUAAGCCAUUUUUUUCAAAUAUUUUUCUUUGAUUAUUAACAGGUAUUAACCUAGCUUUACUUACAGACUUGUCUUUUUCUUUGUGCAUAUUAUUUAAGAACUCUCUACUAUUUGAAUGAGCUAUAAUGAGUUUUCCAUUUUUAUUUAAAUUUUUAUUUAUUAAAGUUUUUACUGUUUUUGUUUUGUUUUCCAAGUGAGGAAACAUUGAAUAUAAUAUGAUUUUGUCAUACUUUUCAUAUAUUUCUUCUUCUUCUACAUCCUUUAUUUCAAAUUCUAUAUUCUCUAAAUUUUUAUAUUUUUCUUUUGCUAUAUUUAGCAUGCCAGUUGAAAUAUCAACUCCUUUUAUAUAUCCCCCUUUAUUUAAAGCUUUUAUAAAAGGUAUUAUUACGCCCGUUCCCGUUCCAACAUCUAAUAUUCUUUCGUUUGAUUUUAUAUCUAAUUUUGAUAACAGUAAAUUUAUUUUUUCUUCAUUUACUUCUAUUAUAGAGUCCCAUUCUUUUGCUAUUUUAUUAAAAAACUCUACUUGAUUCAUAAUACCUCCUUAAAUAUUUAUUUUAUAAAACAAAAAAGCCAUGAAGAGUUUAAACCCUUCAUGGCUUUUUUAUUAUCUAAAAAAAUUAUAGUUUCAUUUAGUAUCAUUUGUCAACUAAUAUUAGUUUUUAUUUAUUAUAUAACUUCAGGUAACUCAUCAUAAUAUUUAUACUUAUCUUCUUUGAUUGCAAUUGUUGCUGCAAUUAUUGUUAAAAUACUCAUUACUAUAAACAUCAUAAAGCCUUUCUUAUAUCCAUUUAUUCCAACUCCAUUAAUUUGUAUCAUAAAUCCUAUAAAUAAAUUUAUAAUUCCACUUCCCAUAAAUUCUGCAGUAUUUAUUAUACUUGUAGAUAAUCCUAAAUAUUCUUCCUUAUUUUUAUAUUUAACGUCACUAAAAGCUUGUAAAUGAGUCAUAUUUAUACAUCCAAUCAAAAAAAAUGCAACAGGUAAAAAUACUAUGGAUGGUUUUACAUCUUUAGCAAUUACUAUAAAUGUCCAUAUAAAUAGGUUUAAUAAUCCACCUAGCCUUACUAUAUUAAACUUAUUCCCCUUAUAUUUUUUAAAUAAAAUAUUCAUAACUAUAGCCCCAAAUACAAGUCCAUAAGUUAAAAAAGAAACUAUAAAUGCAGAUACACUUUUACUUAAACCAUAAAUAUCAACUAUAUAACUAACUCCCCAUAAACUACUAAAAGCAGUUGUUACUCCUACUAAAGAAAACAUUAUAACAGAAUUAUAUAAUGUUGAUUUUUUUGUUAAAACAGAUUUAAGACCUAAUUUUAUAUUUCUAUUUGUAAUUUUUUCUUUAUUUUUAUUUAGAUUAAAUCCACAUUCUUGAGGAUUAUUUCUUACAACAAAGUAUAUACUUAUCCCAAAUAAAAUCCCUAUUAAACCUAUUAAUAUAAAUGAACUUCUCCAACCUAAGAUUUCUGUAAGUAAUACAAGGGGAAAUGUUGCAAACACACUUCCUAAAUUCCCUAUAAGUGAAAACUUUGCAGAAGCUGGUGCAAACUCUUCUUUUUUAAACCAAUUUCCUUGAACUUUAAACAUAGAAAGUAAAAUAACUGAUGUUCCAGCACCCACCAUUACUCUAGAUACAUAUGCCAAUUCUAUAUUUUGUAUAAAUCCAAAUAAUAUAGAACCAAUACCUGCUAUUAUCAUUCCUAAACUACUUAUAUUUCUAGCUCCGAACUUAUCUAUAAUAACUCCUGCUGGUAUUUGCAUAAAUGCAUAUGAGUAUAAAGUAAAUGAAGCUAUAUUUGAUAUUUCUAUAGAGUUAAACCCUAAUUCAUUUGAUAAGUUAUCAGAAAUAACCGCAGUUGACAUUCUUAAAAACAAAACAAGCACAAAUGAAAUUGUAAGCACCCACCAUAUACUCCAUUUAACCCUAGAAUACGUUUUCUCUUGAAACUCCAUAAUUUCCACAACCACCUUUUUAAAAAUAUAUAACCCUAAUAAAUAUUAUCAUUCCACUAAAUAUUUUUCAAUAUAAUGAAAUAUUUUUUUAUUUUUUCAUAUAUAUGAAAUUUUAAAUUUGAUAACCUCUACUUUAUUAAGUUGAGUUAAAGAUUUGCUAGGAUAUAUUAAUAUAUCAAGAUUAUAUAGUGCUUUUUAUAAACACAAUAAAUAGAUAUACGUAUAUUAAAAUCCUGUAUAUCUAUUUAUCAAUAUCUUAUCUUUUCAAUCACUUGCUCAAUAUUAAGUUUUUUAACUAUUUUUUUAAAUAAUUUAAAGCAAAUUAAUCCUAUAGCAGAUCCUAUAAUAUUAAAAAUAACAUCAUCGAUAUUACUUACACUAAAUAUUGUAAACAAUUGAAUUAUCUCUAUUAAGCUUGAUGUAAUUGUACUAAUUAAUAUUAUUUUUAAAAAGCUAUUUAUUUUCUUAAAAAGUAAUGGAAGCAAAAAUCCUAGAGGUAUAAAGUAAAUUACAUUUAAAAUUAUGCCCUUAAUAAUUUUAUUGUUAUGUAUUCCGUCUUUUAAAAUAUUUACCGUCUCUUUAAAUGGAAUAAUAUUAAUAAUACCAUCUACGCCUGAAAAAGUAUAUUGAUAUGAAUUUAGUGGACUUGAAAUCAUAAUUAUACAAAAUUUAAAAAUUGUCAAUCUUAUAAGUAUUAAGAAAUAUAUUACUAGUAUUAGCAAAGCUCCCUCUUUAGUUAAAUCUAAAGUUCGCCUUAAUUUAGCUAAAUAUAACCUAAAUAUAGCCCAUACAACAAUUGUUAAACCCACAAUUGUUAUAAAGUUCAAAUGCAUCAUUAUAUUACUCCCUUUGAUUUAUUGUCUAACUUACAUUAUAUCAAACUGAUAUUUAUAAUUAUUUACAAAAAAGUAAAAAAAUACUUAAUUUAUUCUUAAUAUAAAAAGAGAGGUAGAAACCUCUCUUUUAUUUAUGUAAAAAGAAAACUUAUUAUAAUCUAUCAAGACCUUGUUUUAAAUCAUCUAUUAUAUCUUCAGAAUCUUCUAGUCCUACAGAAAUUCUUAUUAAACCAUCUGAAAUACCAGCUUCAGCUCUUUCCUCAGCUGUAUAAGGAGAGUGAGUCAUUGAAGCAGGAUGUUGUAUUAAUGUCUCGCAAUCACCUAAGCUAACUGCAAGAGUACAUAAUUCUAAAGAGUUAAGUAGUUUUUUACCUGCCUCUAGGCCACCUUUAACUUCAAAUGCUAUCAUACCACCNGGGUACGAUGGGGAGCGAAAUUAAGUAGCGAAGUAGCUGAUUUCACACUGUCGAGAAAAGUUUCUAUCGAGAUUAAAGGUGCCCGUACCGCAAACCGACACAGGUGGGUGAGGAGAGUAUCCUAAGGCCAGCGAGAGAACUGUUGUUAAGGAACUCGGCAAAAUGACCCCGUAACUUAGGGAGAAGGGGUGCCACGUUAGGGUUAACGCCCGAGGUGGCCGCAGAGAAUAGGCCCAAGCGACUGUUUACCAAAAACACAGGUUUCUGCUAAGUCGCAAGACGAUGUAUAGGAGCUGACGCCUGCCCGGUGCUGGAAGGUUAAGGGGAUCUGUUAGGAUUUAUCCGAAGCAGUGAACUUAAGCCCCAGUAAACGGCGGCCGUAACUAUAACGGUCCUAAGGUAGCGAAAUUCCUUGUCGGGUAAGUUCCGACCCGCACGAAAGGCGUAACGAUUUGGGCACUGUCUCAACAACAGACUCGGUGAAAUUGUAAUCCCGGUGAAGAUGCCGGGUACCUGCGACAGGACGGAAAGACCCCAUGGAGCUUUACUGUAGCUUGACAUUGAAUUUUGGUGCUACAUGUACAGGAUAGGUGGGAGGCUAUGAAGUCGGGACGCCAGUCUCGGCGGAGCCAUCCUUGGGAUACCACCCUUGUAGUACUGAGAUUCUAACCAGAUACCUUGAAUCAGGUAUUGGGACACUGUCAGGUGGGCAGUUUGACUGGGGCGGUCGCCUCCCAAAGAGUAACGGAGGCGCUCAAAGGUUCUCUCAGCACGGUCGGAAAUCGUGCGUAGAGUGUAAAGGCAGAAGAGAGCUUGAUUGCAAGACAUACAGGUCGAGCAAGGACGAAAGUCGGACUUAGUGAUCCGGUGGUUCCGCAUGGAAGGGCCAUCGCUCAACGGAUAAAAGCUACCCUGGGGAUAACAGGCUUAUCUCCCCCAAGAGUCCACAUCGACGGGGAGGUUUGGCACCUCGAUGUCGGCUCAUCACAUCCUGGGGCUGUAGUAGGUCCCAAGGGUUGGGCUGUUCGCCCAUUAAAGUGGUACGCGAGCUGGGUUCAGAACGUCGUGAGACAGUUCGGUCCCUAUCCGUCGCAGGCGUAGGAAAUUUGAGGAGACCUGUCCUUAGUACGAGAGGACCGGGAUGGACGUACCUCUGGUGUACCAGUUGUUCUGCCAAGGGCAUGGCUGGGUAGCUAUGUACGGAAUGGAUAAGCGCUGAAAGCAUCUAAGCGCGAAGCCAACUUCAAGAUAAGAUUUCCCACCGUAAGGGUAAGAUCCCAGGAAGACUACCUGGUUGAUAGGUCAAAGGUGUAAGUGCAGCAAUGCAUGUAGCUUAUUGAUACUAAUAGAUCGAGGACUUGACCAA